AUCCAUCUGACGAGUCCCAGGUGGAGCGAAACACGCGUCCUGAAU
Molecule: non-coding RNA, 45 nt
Filed under: Schistosoma margrebowiei
Lineage: Eukaryota; Metazoa; Platyhelminthes; Trematoda; Strigeidida; Schistosomatidae
Source: RNAcentral